UGCUCAGCAAACCGAUCAUAGCAACCUCUGAGAUUUCAAACCGCUAUCUAAUUUUUGCUCUUCAUUGUAAUUUUUUCGAACAGAUUAUUAAUCCUUAAGGUUGCUUCAGGCGGAACCCCAUUAAUGGUGAAAGAAAGUUGUUGCUUUUGUGCUACUGUCAACAAAGAUCAGUUGAGCAUCUUGAUGUUAUAUAUCAUCCCAGGUGGACAUACGAAAGCAAAUUAUUCUAGAUUCUGCACACAGAGUUAAUUUAGUCGACGUCUACGCUAAGGAUUGGAGAUAUUUGGAUACACAGUUGCAAAGAGAUGUAUCCCAGUGCGAACGGGUUAUCAACCAUGGAUUCGAAAGCUCCUUCUAUGAGUACCAGCAAACCUAGCUAAGAGAGACCCCCAUUUAAUCAUAUUCAGUCUAAUAAUCUUGCC
Papaver somniferum (opium poppy) is the source of this 422-nucleotide long non-coding RNA. RefSeq lists it as uncharacterized. The transcript is spliced from 4 exons. The record is from RefSeq and is a predicted model, not a curated record. Lineage: Eukaryota; Viridiplantae; Streptophyta; Magnoliopsida; Ranunculales; Papaveraceae.